GAUGAACGCUAGCGGCAGGCCUAAUACAUGCAAGUCGAGGGGUAUGGGUUGCUUGCAACCCAGAGACCGGCGCACGGGUGCGUAACGCGUAUGCAAUCUACCUUAAUCAGGGGGAUAGCCCGGAGUAAUCCGGAUUAACACCGCAUAACAUUGAGUUGUGGCAUCACAGUUCAAUCAAAUAUUUAUAGGAUUAAGAUGAGCAUGCGUGACAUUAGUUAGUUGGUGAGGUAACGGCUCACCAAGACCACGAUGUCUAGGGGAUCUGAGAGGAUGACCCCCCACACUGGUACUGAGACACGGACCAGACUCCUACGGGAGGCAGCAGUAAGGAAUAUUGGUCAAUGGGCGCAAGCCUGAACCAGCCAUGCCGCGUGCAGGAAGACGGCCCUAUGGGUCGUAAACUGCUUUUGUACCGGAAUAAACCUUCUCUUGCGAGAGAAGCUGAACGUACGGUAAGAAUAAGGAUCGGCUAACUCCGUG
Molecule: ribosomal RNA, 480 nt
Filed under: uncultured bacterium
Lineage: Bacteria
Description: partial 16S ribosomal RNA
Rfam family: Bacterial small subunit ribosomal RNA
Source: RNAcentral